GACGAACGCUGGCGGCGUGCUUAACACAUGCAAGUCGAGCGGUAAGGCCCUUUCGGGGGUACACGAGCGGCGAACGGGUGAGUAACACGUGGGUGACCUGCCCUCAGCUCUGGGAUAAGCCUGGGAAACUGGGUCUAAUACCGGAUAUGACUCCAUGACGCAUGUUGUGGGGUGGAAAGCCUUGUGCGGCUGAGGAUGGGCCCGCGGCCUAUCAGCUUGUUGGUGGGGUGAUGGCCUACCAAGGCGACGACGGGUAGCCGGCCUGAGAGGGCGACCGGCCACACUGGGACUGAGACACGGCCCAGACUCCUACGGGAGGCAGCAGUGGGGAAUCUUGCGCAAUGGGCGAAAGCCUGACGCAGUGACGCCGCGUGAGGGAUGACGGCCU
Molecule: ribosomal RNA, 388 nt
Filed under: uncultured bacterium
Lineage: Bacteria
Description: bacterial SSU rRNA
Rfam family: Bacterial small subunit ribosomal RNA
Source: RNAcentral